AACCUACUGCCUCAGUCUACGUUAUCAUAUGAAGGGAUCUGAUAUUGGGAGUCUCAAGAUCAAGACAAAAAACGCAACCAACAGUCCAGCACUUCUCAGAGAAAUAUCUGGCCAUCAAGGCAGAUUUUGGCAAAAACUGAUCGGUCUAAACAUGCAUCUGAAUAAAGAUACAAAGAUCUUAAUCGAAGCCGUAAGGGGCACAAGUUACGAGGGUGAUAUAGUCAUAGAUCACGUGACAUUGUGGCCUACGGAGUGUCCGUAAUCUGAUUGGUGGAAGAAGUUAGUUCGUGAUUUGCAUCAGCCGUUUCAGCAUAGAAUCAUGUAUCGUUUAAAAUCAUAUUUUUGUAUACAUAUAUUCAUAUCUAUAGGAAUAUAUUUAAGGCAUAUAGCAAAUUCAUCAAUCUAUGAAGGUUGAAAUGUCAAUCUAUUGGUGCUUAUAGACUAAUCUUAAACAGCCCGUCCCAUUCACGAUUGUAUGUUGAGCUAUUGCUGCUGUAUACAUGUGUCUGAGGUUUAAAAUUUGGAAAACAUUGUAGAUAUGAGAACUCCAUUGCAGAACAAUGUAAAUAAAGUAUAUUUUAAUCUGUAUGUAAAGCCAUGUCCCUCGUUUCUUAUGUACAUUACUUUUUAUAUGUUAAUUAAUCUGUAUGUAAAGUCAUGUUCCUCGUUUCUUAUGUACAUUACUUUUUAUAUGUUAAUUAAUCUGUAUGUAAAGUCAUGUCCCUCGUUUCUUAUGUACAUUACUUUUUAUAUGUUAAUUAAUCUGUAAGUAAAGCCAUGUUUCUUGUUUCUUAUGUACAUUACUUUUUAUAUUUUAAUUAAUCUGUAAGUAAAGCCAUGUUUCUCGUUUCUUAUGUACAUUACUUUUUAUGUGUUAAUUAAUCUGUAUGUAAAGCCAUGUCCCUCGUUUCUUAUGUACAUUACUUUUUAAUACGCUGUAAUCUGAAAGCUUGUGUAUAUAAGUUUAAACUCUUGGAAGUGAAACAAGAGGCCCAUGGGCAAUAUCGCUCACCAGAGUAACCUUGGCUCAUAUAAAUUUAAAGAUUUUUCCUAUAUAUUCGCAUGUAAAACUUUGAUCCCUUAUUGUGGCCCCAACCUACUCCCGGGGGGCGAUGAUUUUAUCAAAAUUGAAUCUGGACUAUGUCAGGAAGCUUUCAUGUGAAAGUAAACUUUUUUGACCCAGUGAUUUUUCAGAAGAUUUUCCCAAUAUAUUUGUAUGUAAAACUUUGAUCCCCUAUUGUCGCCUCAUCUUACCCCAGGGGGCCAUGAUUUUAAUUAACUUGAAUCUGCACUAUGUCAGGAAACUUUCAUGUAAAUUUCAACUUUCCUGGUCCAGUACUUUUUGAGAAGAAAAGAAGAUUUUCCCUAUAUAUUUCUAUGUAAAACUUUGAUCCCCUUGUGGCCCCAUUCUGCCCCCUGGGGGCCAUGAUUUUUACAAACAUGAAUCUGCACUAUGUCAGGAAGCUUUCAUGUAAAUCUCAGUUUUUCUGGCUCAGUGGUUCUUGAGAAGAUUGUCCCUAUAUAUUUGUAUGUAAAACUGAGAUCCCUUAUUGUGACCCCAUCCAACUCCCGGGAACCAUGAUUUUAAUAAACUUGAAUCUGCACUAUGUCAGGAAGCUUUCAUGUAAAUUUCAGCUUUUCUGGCCCAGUGGUUCUUAAGAAGAAGUUUUUUAAAUGACCCAACCCUAUUUUUGCAUUUUUGUGAUUAUCUCCCCCUUUAAAGGGUCAUGGCCCUCCAUUUGAACAAACUUGAAAGCCCUUCACCCAAGGAUUCUUUUGGCCAAGUUUGGUUGAAAUUGGCCCUGUGGUUCUGAAGAAGUCGAAAAUGUAAAAAGUGUGCAGAUGGACAUAGGACGGACAACAGGCGAUCAGAAAAGCUCACUUGAGCUUUCAGCUCACGUGAGCUAAACAGAAAAAGGGGAUUCCAAUCUUCAAAUUUACCAUCUACACAGGUCGUGAUCAUUGGAUUAUGUCAUUUCAAAAUUUGUAUUUUGGAUAGUUUAAAUAGCAUUAAAAACCAUACCAUUAGCACACCAUC
This is a long non-coding RNA of Ostrea edulis (European flat oyster), 2038 nucleotides long. RefSeq lists it as uncharacterized. The record is from RefSeq and is a predicted model, not a curated record. The transcript has 2 exons. NCBI's taxonomy places the organism in Eukaryota, Metazoa, Mollusca, Bivalvia, Ostreida, Ostreidae.